UGAAACCGUAUGUCUACAAGCAGUCGGAGCGAAAGCGACGGCGUGCCUAUUGAAGAAUGAACCAACGAGUUAUCUGCACUAGCGAGGUUAAGUGGAAGACACGGAGCCGUAGCGAAAGCGAGUCUGAAAAGGGCGGCGAGUUAGUGUAGGUAGACCCGAAACCGCAGUGAUCUACCCAUGUCCAGGUUGAAGCGCAGGUAAAAAUGCGUGGAGGACCGAACCGGUGAGCGUUGAAAAGCUUUCGGAUGAGAUGUGGGUAGGGGUGAAAUUCCAAUCGAACGCGGAGAUAGCUGGUUCUCCCCGAAAUAGCUUUAGGGCUAGCCUCAGGUAGUAAGUAUAGGCGGUAGAGCACUGAUCGGGCUAGGGGCCAUAAAGGUUACCGAACCCUGUCAAACUCCGAAUGGAUAUACUGCAGAGCCUGGGAGUCAGACUACGAGUGAUAAGAUCCGUGGUCAAAAGGGAAACAGCCCAGACCACCGGCUAAGGUCCCAAAUGCCGUACUAAGUGGAAAAGGAUGUGGGGAUUCAUAAACAACCAGGAUGUUGGCUCAGAAGCAGCCACCAUUUAAAGAGUGCGUAAUAGCUCACUGGUCGAGAGUCCCUGCGCCGAAAAUUUCCGGGGCUAAAGUACGGAACCGAAGCCGUGGCUGUGUACUUAGGUGCACGGGGUAGGGGAGCGUUGCCACAGGGGUGAAGCUGGUCUGGAAGGACUGGUGGACUUGUGGGAAGUGAGAAUGUUGGUAUGAGUAGCGAAAAGAUAGGUGAGAAUCCUAUCCACCGAAAGCAUAAGGAUUCCUGAGCAACGAUCGUCGUCUCAGGGUAAGUCGGGACCUAAUCCGAGGCAAAGAGCGUAGGAGAUGGACAACAGGUUGAUAUUCCUGUACCGGCAGCAAUUGUUUGAGCGAAGGAGUGACACAGAAGGGCAGGCAGGCGCGAGACUGGAUUGUCGCGUGCAAGCGUGUAGGGUAGUGUACAGGCAAAUCCGUACACUGAGAGCCUGAGGCGUUACGCGGAGCGAGCAGAGAUGCGAGCGAAGCUGCUGAUCCCACACUGUCGAGAAAAGCUUCUAGUGAGAGAGCUGCCGCCCGUACCGUAAACCGACACAGGUAUGCGGGGAGAGAAUCCUAAGGUGCGCGGGAGAACCCUCGUUAAGGAACUCGGCAAAAUGUACCCGUAACUUCGGGAUAAGGGUAGCCGUCUUGGUGAAGGAGCAUGCCUCUGGAGCUGAAGGCGGUCGCAGAGAAGAGGCCCAAGCGACUGUUUACCACAAACACAGGUGCCUGCUAAAGCGAAAGCUGACGUAUAGGUGCUGACACCUGCCCAGUGCUGGAAGGUUAAGGAAGGAUGUCCGGGCAACCAAAGCAUUCGACCGAAGCCCCAGUGAACGGCGGCCGUAACUAUAACGGUCCUAAGGUAGCGAAAUUCCUUGUCGGGUAAGUUCCGACCCGCACGAAAGGUGUAACGAUUUGGGCACUGUCUCAACGAGGGACCCGGUGAAAUUGAAAUACCUGUGAAGAUGCAGGUUACCCGCGACUGGACAGAAAGACCCCAUGGAGCUUUACUGUAACCUGACAUUGGGUUUUGUUGUAUUACGUACAGGAUAGGUGGGAGGCUUAGAAGGCUGGACGCUAGUCUGGCUGGAGCCGGCGUUGGGAUACCACCCUUGAUACAACGGAAUUCUAACCGAGAGAGUAACGAAAUCCGGGACAGUGUCAGGCGGGCAGUUUGACUGGGGCGGUCG
This 1740-nucleotide ribosomal RNA is filed under the name human gut metagenome. RNAcentral's name for it is "bacterial LSU rRNA". It matches the Rfam family "Bacterial large subunit ribosomal RNA", at positions 551 to 2285 of the family's 2925-position model. The record is from RNAcentral.